AAUAUGCUGAACUAUGUCUGAUUAGGGCAAGAAACUGUGGUAGAAGUCCAAAGCUGUUCUGACAUUACAAUUGAUUGUCUGGCAUGGGUAUAGGGGUGAAAGAUUAAUCAAAUCAUUUAAUAG
Molecule: non-coding RNA, 123 nt
Filed under: Rattus norvegicus (Norway rat)
Lineage: Eukaryota; Metazoa; Chordata; Mammalia; Rodentia; Muridae
Description: Eukaryotic large subunit ribosomal RNA
Rfam family: Eukaryotic large subunit ribosomal RNA
Source: Rfam by way of RNAcentral